RNAcentral lists this long non-coding RNA (41679 nucleotides) under Triticum aestivum (bread wheat). RNAcentral's name for it is "long non-coding RNA (TAES_LNC012548)". The record is from RNAcentral. Lineage: Eukaryota; Viridiplantae; Streptophyta; Magnoliopsida; Poales; Poaceae.
UUUUUUUUCGUGAAAAAUUAUAUACUAGUGCAAAAGUAAGUCAAGUUCAUUCCAAAAAUAGUUCUUACAUAUUUUGACUUUUAUUUAAUUAUUAAAAAAAAUCCCCAUAUAGGUUUAUCUACAACCGGGAACCAAAGUUUAUUUCCCCUCCAACGUUGUGCUAAUUAGCUCUGUGGUUUCAUCAAAUUGUUCUGCUUUAACAGAUGCCAUGUCUGUUAAAUUUUUAAUACUCAUAUCAGUAUCACUAGAUCCACCAUAAAGUUAAUAAUUUUUAACAGAAAUUUGCUCAUAUUUAACAAAAGUAAUCCGGACAGCGAAGAGAAAAGUGCACUGUCAAGGAAAAACAAAACGGGAAGCGUGGCCUCCUCCCGGGCCGGGCCCGUCCGGCACGGCCUUUUGCCUCCCUUCCUUACCCACCUACGUGUUUCUUUCUUAAGCCCCAAGAAGAAGAAGAAGAAGAGGGAGACACGCGCAGGGCCACCGCGCGGCCGCCGUCGACAAAUAAAACCCGCCCGCCGGACCGACCGCCCGAGGCGCACACACCAAGACGACAGUCGGCAGCGGCGCUCCCCCCCUUCAACAGUCUACUUCCUCGUUUCCGUCCAGGCAAGUAACCUCUCCUCUCUUCUCCUGCUUCGAUCCCCGCGUCCAUCUCUGUUUUAGCCGCCGCCGUUGGGCGUCCGUGCGGGCUCUGCAAAAUCGGCGGUUGAUUUAGGCAUGCGAGUAGCGGAGCAAGAUUUUUCGUGGUUAUCUCUGCUCAUUCGAGUAGCGGGGCAAGAUUUGCUCCAUGGUUUAGGCCUUCAGGCGGGCGGUUUCUGAAAAGAAAUUCAGAUAGCCGAUUUCUCAUACUGUAGGAGUAGUUACCAUCAAGAUCUGGAAUUUAAUCCGGAGGCUUGACACUUGCACCUUGGAACAUGAGAUCAGGUUAUCAUCUCGUCUCCCUGUUUACAUCCUAUUGCUACACCAAAAUGGUCAAAUAAAAUUUGCGGGAAAUGAAAUAUAAUCAGGUUUUGUUCGUCAGUAAGUUCAGAGGAACACUGCAGUGUUUCAAUAUCCGCUUGUCCUGUUAUCUACUUGGAUUGUAAUCGAAGAACAACAAAAUAUUGGGUUAUUACCGUUGUAAUGUACAGAUAUAGUGUCGUGAUCAACGGGGACUGAAGUGAGUUUUCUAUUUUCUCCGCCCCCAGAUUUGCAGGUCAUACCUGAGUUGCUGCUGCUGAAAUGGGUAGCACUGAAGCCCCAACGCCCGUGCAGGCACCUGUGUGCUCCAUUGUGAACGAAGGCCCAGCAGCUCCGGCUGCUUGCUCCAUUGUGAACGAAGCAGCAGCUCCUGCCACUGACUCGAAGCCGAAGAAGAAGAUAUGCUGCGCUUGCCCCGACACCAAAAGGCUCAGAGAUGAAUGCAUCGUCAAGCACGGGGAGUCUGCGUGCACCAAGUGGAUCGAGGCUCACAAACAGUGCCUCCGUGCCGAGGGGUUCAAGGUCUGAUAGCCCCCUCAGGAUGCUGCAUUUGCUUUCAUGGAUGUUGCAGAACAUGCUAGUUGAGAUUCAGUUAGAGGAGUUGCCUUGUUUUUAAAUGUUGUUCCUGUAUGGUUUAAUGGUUAGCGAGCUUGAUACCUGUCUCCGUGGGAAAUAAAUUACUGAUGACUGUGACUUUAUCGGUUAUAUGAGAAGUUUUCUUGGUGUUCAUAUUGUUGCCCAUCUCAGCUUUGUUUGGCAUGGAAUAUACAAUAUUCCUGAUGUGGAAAUUUGAUAGUGAUAACUGAUAACACAGCAUCAAGAAUAGAGUCUUCAUAUUUAUUUGCUCAUUGCUGCAAUGCACAUACAGAAUUACAGUGUUGAUAUACAGAAUUACAAUGCUGAUAUACAGACUUGUCGCAUAUGCAUAUACAGAAUAAUGCUGAUAUACUGUAUAUAUUGGUCUGCACCACUGUCCAUUCCAUGUGGAUCGACUGGUCUAUGGGGUAAAUUUGUUACUGAAUUUUGACACUGGUCUGCACCAAACUCUGGUAAAUACUGGUCUGGAGUCGCCAAACAUUUUUGUUACUGAAUUUUGACGCCAAACAUUUUUGUUACUGAAUUUUGACAUUGGUCUGGUAGAUACUGUAAUGUGUUAAUCUAUUAAUCUGAAUUUUGUUACUGAUGAUGACAGAAAAUUUGUGCACCGUAUUUCGUUAAUCUGGACAGCUCAGUAGUUAUUGGAUUCAGUUAACCAAAGUUUAGUUCUUGUUGGCGCAAGUGCAAAAGUUACUGUCAAGAUGCAAGCAUUUUUCUUUGGUGCAAAAAUUACUGUCAAGAUGCAUAUCCUGUUGCUCCUCGGAAUGAGCUGCUCUGUUCUCAACUCAACUCAUUUUCACAAGCAUGCAGAGAAGAUAUAAAUAAACAGGAAAACAGGAGUAGUUUGUAUAAAUAGAAGUCCUGAGUCCAACUUGUACUGAUCAUGACCCAACUUGUACUGAAUUUUCCUCACAAUUAUUCAAAACUCACAAUAAGCUACUGUAUUUCAUAUAAAUCACUAUCUUCUUUGCCAAAUAAUCACAUGCAGAGAAGAUGGUACCUUGCCAGAAAAUCGCAAUGACAACCUCUACUCCACCCCAGAAUAAUUCUGUAUCUUCAUACACUAGCAGUAGCAGAUUUACAACCAUGGAUGGAUCAAGUGUUCCCUACGAAGGCUUUGAACUUGAUCAGCCAUUGAUCAAGUGUUCAGUAUGGAGUACAAAUGCUUUCUGCCUCUCCGGAUCAAUUUUAAACACACACUAUUGUUGAUCCUAGCGGCCAUGGAGGUGGGUCAUGUGGCGAGUAGUUAGCUUGUGAGAUUAUGGGUGGAGUUCGGGUUAUGUAACUAUUGUAACCGCCAAUGCGGAGGUGCUUCUUUCCCCAUUCUCCUCUUUAAUAGAUGUAGUAUGCACGCUCGUGCGUAUUUGAGAAUAAACAAUUGUUGAUCCACUGCUCAAUUUCACAGGUGGAGUAAAGAAGUGAAUGAUUUCACCGAUCCACACUAUUGCUUUCUUUUGUUUUGCCUGUCGCUGCUGAUCCACACUGUUGUUUCUGCCUUUCUUUGUUUCUUGCUCAAUUGGAAGUAAUUUCACAUCAAUGGUCCCGCGAGCUGCGCCCGGAAGUGCGCGGGGAAGGUUGAGGCCCGACCGCGGCCGCGCUUGGGAAAGCUGCCGACGGUGACGACGGGAAGGAGGAAGGUGGAGACGGGGUGGUUAGUACGAGAAUUAACUCUAUGAGGGGGUUUUUGAAUUUCGGGACGAUUGGUUUCUGUCAGACGGUUGGGUUUUUUUUUUUUUUGAAAUGGAACACUAAGAUUCCAUAGCUUAACUUGGUCCAGCCAAAACGCUGCGUACGUAUCCCCCCGCGUGUGGGGGUCGGGUCUGUAAUCGAUUCGGGGUUUUCUAUGAUGUUUGCAGGAUUCUUUUUUGCGCUUAAUUGGGCCAUCACGUGCAAUUGUGUUAACAGACAUAGUUGACAUUGAAAUCCAACUGAAAGUGAAAGGUCCAACAAUGUCUCAAGAUAAAGCAUUGAUCAGCUAUGUCGCCAAUUAUAGUGGAGGAGGUCUUGGCGUAUCGACCCUUUGCAUUGAUAAUUGUUUGUGUACACUGGAGUUAUGCUUGCAGCAUGUCAAACGAACAGUCCAGGCUACCAUCUUGAGUGUCCAAGUUGUCAAGUGUGGUUCAUGGCCGUUUGAAUAUGGUGGCCGAGUUGCUUGCUCCUCAGCUUCACGGGAAACGGUGGUCACUGAUAGUGGAGUCACUUGUGCUAUUAAUCCCUCAUCUAGCCAAAUUGUAAUGCUUGAAUCAAAAGAUGGAGCAAUGCUGAAAGGUCUUAAUGGUCACAUAUACCUGCCGAGGCAAGUUGUUUCUGUAGAAAUUGAAGGAGUGUUGGACAUUGCCAUAGAAGCCUACACAAAAUCUGGUGAUAUCGGUGCACAGGGUCGUAUUUGUUUCGCGCCCCAGGUUUGCAACAUAAGCCAGGAUAAAUUUGCCAUUGCUGAUGUUGAGGUGAUGAUUACGAUUGCUUGGUCCCUUGUCCCUACAAGCAAAAGGGAAAUUGUGGCACAACGACAGUUUCUCUAAAGCUGAUAUCUAGGAGGUUGUGGCGUGGAACACUAGAAAGACAAGGCAACACCAACCAAACCUUUGCUCACCAUUCAUCAUGUUUGUUAUACAUGUAAAAUGUUUCUAUUUGUUUAUCAAUUAGACGAUAUGCCAUCCAAGUAGUCAUGUAAUGACUUUUCUUCUACUAUCCCUAUAUAAAAGCACGAAGUGCCGAGAUCCAAAUUCAUUCUAUCCGUGUACACAAUAGAUCCUAUAGUCUAAAAUUCUACAAUUAUCACUGUACCGCACGUCUCCCACUGUCAACCUUCGCUCCAAAAAAAAACACCCAUCGCUCCUCCCCCCUUGCACGACCCCCACGCGCCCAGCUGCUACUUGCGCUUCCUGCACGUCCCCCACACGCCCAACGCAACCUCCUCACCUCUCCCCCGCUCGCCUCUGGCCUCACUCCCUUCCCUUCAUAAUGCCCCUCCCCGUCGGUGUUCCCGUCGGCUCCCUCCCUCUGCAACAUCACCUUUCGUGCGGCAGCACGAUGUUGCCUUCCCAUGGGCCGCCCCCCACGCUCCUCGACAACCUGGUCACCACCACCCCCGACCCAAAGAAGGAUGGUGGCCUGGUGGGGGUGGGUACACUGCAGUCGACGAACACGGCUCAGAGCAGUCGUAAUUUGGCAAUUGUGCAGGAGCCCUGUCGGUGUUAAAACCGGCAGACCUUGGGGUAGGGGGCCCCAAGUUGCGGAUCUCAGACAGAUGGUAACAAGAACAGAGAGACGAUGUUUUCCCAGGUUCGGGCCCUUUUGAAGGGUAAAACCCUACUUCCUGCUCGUGUUUAUAUGAAUGGAGAUGUAUCAAGUACAGACUUGAUCUACCUCAAGAUCAUAAUAUGUGGUCUAACUCUAGGGCUAGCUAGGUCAAUUUUAUUGCAUUGAUGUCUCCUCUACGGGCUAAACCCUACGGCUUAUAUACACGCCAGAUAGGGUAUCUAGGGUUACAAGGUCGGCAUCUAGGAGCAAGGCGGCAUGAGAGAUCUUGGAGUAUACGCCAAGUCUUGGAUGGAGGUAGUAUUGAUCACGCCUCCUGCAUACGGCUUCCGAAGUCCAUCUUGAUCACGAAUGAGGGCACAUUAGCCAACCCGAGGAGAUGGGCUGACUAGGCUAGCACCCCCUAAUCCAGGACACCAUUAGUAGCCCCCGAACUGGUCUUCUACGUCGAGGACGACUUCCUUGAUGAAAGCAACCUCGGACCCGGAGUCCUUGGCUCGACAGACGAGUUCCCCUUUAUAAUUCCCGAAUCACUCCUUCAAAGGGGCGAUGCCUGCCAAGGUCCAGCUGAGCUUGUAUCCUUUUCAAAGAGAUCACAUAACUUAGCCUCGAAGAUCAACCAUCUAGGUAUGAAUAGUCACACCUAGUCUGGCAACUUUAUCGAAGCGGUUCACCCCACGACGUGUGGGGCAGUUACUGCUUCCCUUAAAUCUGUUGGGGAACGUAGCAAUAAUUCAAAAUUUUCUACGCAUCACCAAGAUCAAUCUAUGAAGAUUCUAGCAACAAGAGAGGGAGAGGAUGAGUGUAUCUUCAUACCCUUGAAGAUCGCGAUGCGGAAGCGUUACAAGAACGCGGUUGGUGGAGUCGUACACACAGCGAUUCAGAUCGCAGCCGAUUCCGAUCUAAGCGCCAACAGACGGUGCCUUCGCGUUUAACACACGUACAGCCCGGGGAUGUCUCCUCCUUCUUGAUCCAGCAAGGGGAGAGGAGAAGUUGAGGGAAAACUCCAGCAGCACGACGGCGUGGUGGUGAUGGAGCUCGUGGUUCUCCGGCAGAGCUUCGCUAAGCACUACAGAGGAGGAGGAGGUGUUGGAGGAGGAGAGGGCUGCGCCAGGGAAGGGGGUGCGGCUGCCCUCUCUCUCCCUCACUAUAUAUAGGGGGAAGGGGGGAGGAGGAGGCGCCCUAGGGUUUCCCUAGGGGAGGGGCGGCGGCCACACAGGAAACCCUAGAUGGGUUUGGGCGCUCCCACCCCUAGGAAACUUGCCCCCCCCAAGCCAGGAGGGGUGGCUUCCCUAGGGGAGGCGCCCCCACCUCUCCAAGUUACGUGAGAUGGGGUGGGAGGGGCGCACAGCCCCUUAGUGGGCUGAUGUGCCCCAUCCCCUUGGCCCAUAAGGCCCCCCAACACUUGUCGGGGCCUCCGAAACCCCUUUCGGACACGCUGGUCGUCACCCGGUACCCCCGAAACAAUUUCGGACUCAAUACCCUUCGUCCAAUAUAUCGAUCUUCACCUCCGGACCAUUACGGAGUUCCUCGUCACGUCCGAGAUGUCAUCCGGGACUCCGAACAACCUUGGGUAACCACAUACUAUUUCCCAUAACAACUCUAGCGUCACUGAACCUUAAGUGCGUAGACCCUACGGGUUCGGGAACCAUGCAGACAUGACCGAGACGUUCUCCGGCCAAUAACCAACAGCGGGAUCUGGAUACCCAUGUUGGCUCCCACAUGUUCCACGAUGAUCUCAUCGAAUGAACCACGAUGUCGGGGAUUCAAUCAAUCCCAUAUACAAUUCCCUUUGUCAAUCGGUAUGUUACUUGCCCGAGAUUCGACCGUCGGUAUCCCAAUACCUCGUUCAAUCUUGUUACCGGCAAGUCACUUUACUCAUUCCAUAAUGCCUGAUCCCGUGACUAACUACUUAGUCACAUUGAGCUCAUUAUGAUGAUGCAUUACCGAGUGGGCCCAGAGAUACCUCUCCAUCAUACGGAGUGAAAAAUCCCAGUCUCAAUUCGUGCCAACCCAACAGACACUUUUGGAGAUACAUGUAGUGCACCUUUAUAGCCACCCAGUUACAUUGUGACGUUUGGUACACCCAAAGCAUUCCUACGGUAUCCGGGAGUUGCACAAUCUCAUGGUCUAAGAAAAUGAUACUUGACAUUUAGAAAAGCUCUUAGCAAACGAACUACACGAUCUUGUGCUAUGCUUAGGAUUGGGUCUUGUCCAUCACAUCAUUCUCCUAAUGAUGUGAUCCCGUUAUCAAUGACAUACAAUGUCCAUGGUCAGGAAACCAUAACCAUCUAUUGAUCAAUGAGCUAGUCAACUAGAGGCUCACUAGGGACAUGUUGUGGUCUAUGUAUUCACACAUGUAUUACGGUUUCCAGCUAAUACAAUUAUAGCAUGAAAAUUAGACAAUUACCAUGAACAAGAAAUAUAAUAAUAACCAUUUUAUUAUUGCCUCUAGGGCAUAUUUCCAACAGUCUCCCACUUGCACUAGAGUCAAUAAUCUAGUUCACAUCACUAUGUGAUUGUAAUGAAUCCAACACCCAUUGGGUUUGAUCAUAUCUCGCUUGUGAGAAAGUGAAAGAACAUGCGGUGCCCCCAUGUUUGGUUUUGGUAAUUGAUGACAAUCUCUAUGGACUAAUGGUUGCCUUGAGUUAUAUUUGAAGGUUUUGUCCAUAGGCUUUUCUUGAAGUCCAUGUGUUGGUUUCAAGGAGUUUAUGAGUUAACCAAGGUGCUAUUAAGGAAUUAUCCAAAGAUUCGUCAUGUGAGUGUUGAGCGUAUUGCAAGCAUGUCUUGAAGAAGAAGAUUGUGUGAUCAUUCAUGUUUACCUUCAAGACAUCAUCCAAAUUAAGAGAGUUGGAAAGAUUCAAGGUUGAUCAAGACUAAGUCAAGAGUGAAUCAAGUUGAUCAACUCACAAAGCGUAGAAGAUGUACCGAGAGGGAUCAAGUGAUCCCAUGCUAUGGUAAGCAUUGUCCAUUGCACUUUGUGUACUAACCCAUGGUCUAUGUGAGAGUUCCAUGUGGGGUUAGGUACGUGUCCAUGGGCUUGCGUCAAGAGGAAGAUAUCAUACAACCCAUGGAAAGGAUGACAUCAAGUGGUGAUCGUCAUCAAGAUUGCCGUGUGCAAGUUCAAGUGGAGCAUCACGAAGAGAUCAAGUGCUUGAAUCUUGCCAUCCAUUGUGGUGUCAAUGGACUUGUGAAGAUGUGUCGAAGAGUGGCUCACCCAUAAUGGACUAUGGAGGAGCAAUCAUCUAGUCUUCAUCAAGCCAACGCAAUCAAGAAAGGUGGUCCAACUUGAGGGAGUCAAGAUCGUCAUCAUAUAGCUCAAGUGGACCAUGUGCAAGGCAAAGGUUUUUCCCUUGAUAGUUUUUCUAUUUUCCCGGUCUCGUGGUGGUAGUUGGGAGACCGGGCUAUAGGAUCGUUUGUCGUACUAUCAAGGGGGGCUCUCAAGUUGGUGGCUUGAUCGUAUCGUUAGUAGAAAGCUCAAACCAUUGCAUCCUUGCAUCAUGUUUCUUGGUUCUUGUUUAGUUCUGUUUGUGAGUCUUAGAGCUUAUGGUCAUCUUGAUGACAAGCUUGAGUUCAUCGAAAACGGAGUUCGCAUGCGUCUUCUAUGAUGUUUUCGGUGUUGGAGGUUUUACCGGUCUUAUCCAAGGAAGGGUUCUCACCUUUUUCUUAUGACUUUUCUAUUUUGCUUCUUAUUGAUAUUUCUUUCAAGAUUGUGUUAGCCCUUAUUGCUAGCUUUCCAACAAACUUGGUUUCAUCGAAUUCGGAGUCCGCUUGCAAAAGUUGUGGCAGUUUUGGUGUUCUGAAAAGGCUGCAGCGGUACUACCGCGAAUUGGAGCGGAUGUAACUUUUUACUACCGCUCCAGAGCGGUACUACCGCGGCUCCUACAGCGGUAGUACCGCUCCAGACCAAAAAACUCGUCCCAAGUCCUGCGGAGGUAGGUACGGAAGUAUUUUUUUUGUACCGCAAGCAGUAGUACCGCGAUCCCUAGCGGUAGUACCGUGAGGACGAGCGGUAGUACCGCUCUGUGCGGGUUGUGAGCAUAACGGUUGGAUUUUCCCCCACCUAUAAAAGGGGGUCUUUUUCCCCAUUGAACCUUAUCCUUUGAGCUCGUGUUCUUCCCCCAUUGUUGACCUUCUUCGAGCUUGCUAACUCUCAAUCCCUCCAUGGAUUCUUGCUAGUUUUUGAGGGAAAAGAGAGAGGAGAUCUAGAUCCACAUUUCCACCAAUCACUUUCUCCUUUUUGUGAGGGGAACCCUUUGGAUCUAGAUCUUGGAGUUCUUCGUGUUCUUCUUUCGUUCUUCCUCUCAUUUUCCUUCCUAGCAUUAGUUGCUUUGGUGGGAUUUGGGAGAGAAGGACUUGGGCACUCCAUGUGCCCUUGCCAUUGCAUUUGGUGCAUCGGUUUGAGUUCUCCACGGUGAUACGUGGAAGUGAAGUUUGAGAAGCUUAUUACUCUUGGGUGCUUGGUGCCCUUGAGCUUGUUCCUCUUGGGUGCUUGGGCGCCCUAGACGGUUGGUGGUGUUCGGAGCUCAAUCAUUGUGGUGUAAAGCUCCGGGCAAGCAUCGGGGUCUGCAAUUAGGUUGUGGAGAUCGCCCCGAGCAUUUUGACGGGUUCCGGUGACCGCCCCCAAGGGUUGCCAAAGUGUAUGGGUUCGGUGACCGCCCCCAAGGGUUGCCAUUUGUAUGGGUUCGGUGACCGCCCUCAAGGGUCCCUUAGUGGAAUCACGGCAUCUUGCAUUGUGCGAGGGCGUGAGGAGAUUACGGUGGCCCUAGUGGCUUCUUGGGGAGCAUUGUGCCUCCACACCGCUCCAAACGGAGAUUAGCAUCCGCAAGGGUGUGAACUUCGGGAUACAUCAUCGUCUCCGCGUGCCUUAGUUAUCUCUUAUCCGAGCCCUUUACUUAUGCACUUUACUUUGUGAUAGCCAUAUUUUUCUUUGUCAUAUAUCUUGCUAUCACAUAGUUGCUUAUCUUUCUUAGCAUAAGUUGUUGGUGCACAUAGGUGAGCCUAGUUGUUUUAGGUUUUGUGCUUGACAAAUUAACCGUUAGGUUUAUUCCGCAUUUGUUCAAGCCUAAACCAUAAUUAUUUUAAAGUGCCUAUUCACCCCACCCCCCCUUCUAGGCGACAUCCUCGAUCUUUCAAUUGGUAUCAGAGCCUCGUCUCUCUUUUUAGGGCUUAACCGCCUAGAGAGUAAAGAUGUCGCCUAGGGGAUUAGAAUUCUCCGACACUCUUAGUUUCAAUGGCACAAAUUUUGAUAUUUGGGUAAUUCGCAUGCUUAAUCUCUUUAGGGUCAUGGACCCAAAUUUAGAGCGAAUUGUAGAUAUGGGUUUUCCUCCUCCAAAGGAUCCCCAAAUAUUAUCUUUAGAUGAUGAGAAAAACUCUUAUCUCAAUGCUCAAGCUUCUAAUGUGCUUUUCGAUGCUUUGAGCAAUGUAGUUAUAUUUCAACUCAUGCCGUUCCGGGAUGCUCAUGAGUUGUGGAUGAAGCUUCAAGAUAGAUAUGGUGUGUCCAUGAAUUGUAGGGAUGAUUGUUCUCCCUCCACCUCCGGCCGCAUAGUCUUCUCAACUUCUUCUACUUCACCUACAUGUGGUUUGCCACAAGGUAAUGAUAUGGUGAGUAGUGUUGGUCAUUGCAAUGAUGAUAGUAUGCUUAUUGUGGAUGAUUCUUCAUCACUAUAUUAUUGCAAUGCUCCAUCUUUGGGCUUUAACACUUCGAGCACUCCAAAUGUUUCACAUGCUUGUGUUGAUAGUCCUUGCAUAUCAUGUAGAAAUUGCUUGACUAAAUCUCAUGAUGAUAUGCUUGCUAUAUCUUGUUGCCACGAUAAAAAUGCAUGUAUUUCCUCGAGUUAUUGUGCUAACAAUGUAGAGGAAACCCAACACUCCAUGGAACAAGAUGUGGUUUUGAAUGGUGCUUCAAGGGAUCCUACAUCAUCAUCUAUUGCUUUUUGCCUUAUGGCCAAGGCUUCAAAGGUAUCUCCCACUUUGAAUCCCAAUAUAUCUUGUGAUGAUAUUGAUAAUGGCAAGAGUGAUGAUGAUGUCGAUUAUGAUGAAGAGAAUGAUGAUGUUGCCUCCUUAAAAAUUAAGGGGGAAAUGAUUUUUAAAGCUCUUCUUAAGAAUAAAAUUGCUCGUUCCAACUUCAUGGAAAUAAUGUCCAUUGCCAUUGAUGGCAAGAAAUACAUUGAGGAGUUGUAAUCUCAUCUAGAGGAGCAUGAGGUCACCAUUGAGAAAAUGGAAGCUCAUGGGCGUGAUUACGCAAAUGAGAUCGCGGAGCUAUCUCAAGCUCUUGAACAUGAACAAACCACCUCCGAAUCUCUUGAGGAGACUUUUGCUUUAGAAUUAUCUAGAGUUAAGGAAUCUCAUGAUAGAGCUCUUGAGGUGGCCAAUGAUUUCAAAACUAAAAAUGCUAAGCUUGAAGUUUCUCAUGCUAGACUCCUUGAGGAUUUUGAGCACCUCCAAAAUGGCUCAAGGGUCAUCAAGGGUGAGCUCAUCAAACUCACCGAGUCUCAUGCCCAACUUGAAGCUUCUUAUUUAAAAGAGCUUGCCAAGUUGUCCUAUCCUAUUGUUGUAAAUGAUGAUGCUUGUGCUACUAACUCUAUUACUUGUGAAGCAUCUAUUUUGAAGGAGAAUGUUGAGCUACGGGCUCAACUUGAGGUGCUAUCUAGCAAUUAUGGGAAAUUGGAAGAAAGUCAUGAAAAGCUCUCAAGCUCUCAUGAUGAUCUUCUAGUAUCCCAUAGUGUGCUAAAGAUAGCUCAUGAGGCCAUGAUUGCUAAGGUAACAUCUAGUGAGCCUCAUGUGGAUACUAGCACUACUUCUAGUCAAAAUAGUAUAUUGCCAUGUGCUAGUCCUUGUAAUUCAUCUACUCACAAUGUUGGUACAUCUUGUGAUGAAUUGCUUUCCUUGCCUUGUUGCUCUAAAGAUGAAGCUUAUACUUCCUCUAGUACUUGUGUUGAGACUAACCAUGUAGAGGAAAUAAAAGAGCUCAAGGCCCAAGUCACUUCUUUGAAGAAAGACUUGGAAAAGUGUCAUGAAGGAAAAUUCACACUCAACAAUAUCUUGAGUGUGCAAAAAUCCCCCAAUGACAAAGGUGGACUUGGAUUCAACUCCAACAAGAAGAAUAAGUCCAAGAUCAACAAGAAGAAGGGCCAAAAACAAGACAAGAAUUCGGCCAAGAUUAUUUGCUUCAAGUGCAAAAUUGAAGGGCAUCAUGUUAGAUCUUGCCCAUUGAAUAAGAAGGCUAUUAGUGACAAGCAACAAGGGAAGCGGCUACAAGUGCAUUCUCAUGCUCAACCUCAAGUUGAAGAAAGGCCUCUUCCCAAGAAGAGUCAAGCUAAUGCUUCUCAAGUUGAGAAAUCAAGUGAGAAGAAAGUGAAGAGUAGACGUUGCUACUUAUGUCGUGAGAAAGGUCACGUCGCUUCUUCAUGCACUAGUGGUAACUUAUCCAACCCAAUUAUUAUUGAUGAUAUCUAUUCUCUUGGGAAGGAUAAGGUUGGCAAUGUGUUUGCCAAGUUUGUUGGUACUCAAAGUGGUGUCAAGAAAAGAACCAUUUGGGUAGCCAAGCCUAUUGUGACUAACCUCUUAGGACCCAACUUGGUUGGGGACCAACAAGCUCAAACUUGAUCAAUAGGUGUUUUUGGAGGUCAUCGGAAACUUGGCUACAUUCUGAAGAAUUAAGGGGACUUCAUCUUUCUUGUUGUCUCAAGCCAAGUCCAUUGGGUUGUCAAGUUUCUAUCUUAUAUCCAAUGUGCCUCCUUGCGGUAACUUGUACUUAAAUUGUUUACAUUGAAAGUUACUUGCCCCUUUGCAUGUUUUGGUUUUGUUCCUUGCAUGUGUUUGUAUAUGUUGUGCUUCCAACUUGCUUAUCUUGAGCAAUCAAGUAUGUGUGUGUUGGUUUGCACAUCAUGUACAUGUGCGUCGUGCGUUGAGCCUUUUUUGCUUCUUGUUUGUAUCCUAGUUGGUGUUGGGGAACGUAGUAAUUUCAAAAAAAAAUCCUACGCACACGCAAGAUCAUGGUGAUGGUAUAGCAACGAGAGGGGAGAGUGUUCGUCCACGUACCCUCGUAGACCGUAAGCGGAAGCGUUAUGACAACACGGUUGAUGUAGUCGUACGUCUUCACGAAUCGACCGAUCCAAGUACCGAACGUACGGCACCUCCGUGUUCAGCACACGUCCAGCUCGAUGACGUCCCCCGGACUCCAAUCCAGCGAAGUGUCGGGGAUGAGUUCCGUCAGCACGACGGCGUGGUGACGAUGAUGAUGUUCUACAGGCGCAGGGCUUCGCCUAAACUCCGCGACGAUAUGACCGAGGUGGAAUAUGGUGGAGGGGGGCACCGCACACGGCUAAGGAACGAUCCGUAGAUCAACUUGUGUGUCUAUGGGGUGCCCCCCUCCCCCGUAUAUAAAGGGGGAGAGGAGGAGGGGGCCGGCCUAAGGGGAGGCGCGCCCUAGGAGGGGGAAACCUACUCCAAGUAGGUUUGCCCCCUCCCUUUNNNNNNNNNNNNNNNNNNNNNNNNNNNNNNNNNNNNNNNNNNNNNNNNNNNNNNNNNNNNNNNNNNNNNNNNNNNNNNNNNNNNNNNNNNNNNNNNNNNNNNNNNNNNNNNNNNNNNNNNNNNNNNNNNNNNNNNNNNNNNNNNNNNNNNNNNNNNNNNNNNNNNNNNNNNNNNNNNNNNNNNNNNNNNNNNNNNNNNNNNNNNNNNNNNNNNNNNNNNNNNNNNNNNNNNNNNNNNNNNNNNNNNNNNNNNNNNNNNNNNNNNNNNNNNNNNNNNNNNNNNNNNNNNNNNNNNNNNNNNNNNNNNNNNNNNNNNNNNNNNNNNNNNNNNNNNNNNNNNNNNNNNNNCUCUGGUACUCCGGUUUUUCUUCGAAAACACCCGGAACACUUCAGGUGUCCGAAUAUAGUCAUCCAAUAUAUCAAUCUUUAUGUAUCGACCAUUUCGAGACUCCUCGUCAUGUCCGUGAUCACAUCCGGGACUCUGAACAACCUUUGGUACAUCAAAACUUAUAAACUCAUAAUAAAACUAUCAUCGUAACGUUAAGCGUGCGGACCCUACGGGUUCGAGAACUAUGUAGACAUGACCUAGAACUAUUCUCGGUCAAUAACCAAUAGCGGAACCUGGAUGUUCAUAUUGGUUCCCACAUAUUCUACGAAGAUCUUUAUCGGUCAAACCGCAUAACAACAUACGUUGUUCCCUUUGUCAUUGGUAUGUUACUUGCCCGAGAUUCGAUCGUCGGUAUCCAAUACCUAGUUCAAUCUCGUUACCGGCAAGUCUCUUUACUCGUUCCGUAAUACAUCAUUUCAUAACUAACUCAUUAGUUACAAUGCUUGCAAGGCUUAGGUGAUGAGUAUUACCGAGAGGGCCCAGAGAUACCUCUCCGACAAUCGGAGUGACAAAACCUAAUCUCGAAUUAUGCCAACUCAACAUGUACCUUUGGAGACACCUGUAGAGCACCUUUAUAAUCACCCAGUUACGUUGUGAUGUUUGGUAUCACACAAAGUGUUCCUCCGGUAAACGGGAGUUGCAUAAUCUCAUAGUUAAAGGAACUUUGUAUAAGUCAUGAAGAAAGUAAUAGCAACAUACUAAACGAUCAAGUGCUAAGCUAACAGAUUGGGUCAAGUCAAUCACAUCAUUCUCCUAAUGAUGUGAUCCCAUUAAUCAAAUGACAACACAUGCCUAUGGUUAGGUAACAUAACCAUCUUUGAUCAAUGAGCUAGUUCAAGUAGAGGCAUACUAGUGACACUAUGUUUGUCUAUGUAUUCACACAUGUAUCAUGUUUCCGGUUAAUACAAUUCUAGCAUGAAUAAUAAACAUUUAUCAUGAUAUGAGGAAAUAAAUAAUAACUUUAUUAUUGCCUCUAGGGCAUAUUUCCUUCAGUCUCCCACUUGCACUAGAGUCAAUAAUCUAGAUUACAUAGUAAUGAUUCUAACACCCAUGGAGUCUUGGUGCUGAUCAUGUUUUGCUCGUGAGAGAGGCUUAGUCAACGGGUCUGCAACAUUCAGAUCCGUAUGUAUCUUGCAAAUCUCUAUGUCUCCCACUUGGACUUGGUCCCGAAUGGAAUUGAAGCGUCUCUUGAUGUGCUUGGUCCUCUUGUGAAAUCUGGAUUCCUUUGCCAAGGCAAUUGCACUAGUAUUGUCACAGAAGAUCUUCAUUGGUCCCGAUGCACUAGGUAUAACACCUAGAUUGGAAAUGAACUCCUUCAUCCAGACUCCUUCAUUUGCUGCUUCCGAAGCAGCUAUGUACUCCGCUUAACAUGUAGAUCCCGCCACGACGCUUUGUUUAGAACUGCACCAACUUACAGCUCCACCGUUUAAUAAAAACACGUAUCCGGUUUGCGAUUUAGAAUCGUCCGGAUCAGUGUCAAAGCUUGCAUCGACGUAACCAUUUACGACUAGCUCUUUGUCAUCUCCAUAUACGAGAAACAUAUCCUUAGUCCUUUUCAGGUAUUUCAGGAUGUUCUUGACCGCUGUCCAGUGACCCACUCCUGGAUUACUUUGGUACCUCCCUGCCAAACUAUAGCAAGGCACACAUCAGGUCUGGUACACAGCAUUGCAUACAUGAUAGAGCCUAUGGCUGAAGCAUAGGGAACUCCUUUCAUUUUCUCUCUAUCUUCUGCAGUGGUCGGGCAUUGAGUCUGACUCAACUUUAUACCUUGUAAUACAGGCAAGAAUCCUUUCUUUGCCUGAUCCAUAUUGAACCUCUUCAAUACUUUAUCAAGGUACGUGCUUUGUGAAAGUCCAAUCAAGCGUCUUGAUCUAUCUCUAUAGAUCUUAAUGCCCAAUAUGUAAGCAGCUUCACCGAGGUCUUUGAUUGAAAAACUUUUAUUCAAGUAUCCUUUUAUGCUAUCCAGAAAUUCUAUAUCAUUUCCAAUUAACAAUAUGUCAUCCACAUAUAAUAUUAGAAAUGCUACAGAGCUCCCACUCACUUUCUUGUAAAUACAGGCUUCUCCAAAAGUCUGUAUAAAACCAUAUGCUUUGAUCACACUAUCAAAGCGUUUAUUCCAACUCCGAGAGGCUUGCACCAGACCAUAGAUUGAUCGCUGGAGCUUGCACACUUUGUUAGCUCCUUUAGGAUCGACAAAACCUUCUGGUUGCAUCAUAUACAACUCUUCUUCUAGAAAUCCAUUCAGGAAUGCAGUUUUGACAUCCAUUUGCCAAAUUUCAUAAUCAUAAAAUGCGGCAAUCGCUAACAUGAUUCGGACAGACUUAAGCAUCGCUACGGGUGAGAAAGUCUCAUCGUAGUCAACCCCUUGAACUUGUCGAAAACCUUUUGCAACAAGUCGAGCUUUAUAGACAGUUACAUUACCGUCAGCGUCAGUCUUCUUCUUAAAGAUCCAUUUAUUCUCAAUGGCUUGCCGAUCAUCGGGCAAGUCAACCAAAGUCCAUACUUUGUUCUCAUACAUGGAUCCCAUCUCAGAUUUCAUGGCCUUUAGCCAUUUUGCGGAAUCUGGGCUCAUCAUCGCUUCCUCAUAGUUCGUAGGUUCAUCAUGGUCAAGUAACAUGACUUCCAGAACAGGAUUACCGUACCACUCUGGUGCGGAUCUUACUCUGGUAGACCUACGAGGUUCAGUAGACACUUGAUCUGAAGUUUCAUGAUCAAUAUCAUUAGCUUCCUCACUAAUUGGUGUAUUUGUCACAGGAACUGAUUUCUGUGAUGAACUACUUUCCAAUAAGGGAGCAGGUACAGUUACCUCAUCAAGUUCUACUUUCCUCCCACUCACUUCUUUCGAGAGAAACUCCUUCUCUAGAAAGGAUCCAUUCUUAGCAACGAAUGUCUUGCCUUCGGAUCUGUGAUAGAAGGUGUACCCAACAGUCUCUUUUGGGUAUCCUAUGAGGACACAUUUCUCCGAUUUGGGUUCGAGCUUAUCUGGUUGAAGUUUCUUCACAUAAGCAUCGCAGCCCCAAAUUUUAAGAAACGACAACUUUGGUUUCUUGCCAAACCACAGUUCAUAAGGCGUCAUCUCAACGGAUUUAGAUGGUGCCCUAUUUAUUGUGAAUGCAGCUGUCUCUAAAGCAUAACCCCAAAACAAUAGCGGUAAAUCAGUAAGAGACAUCAUAGAUCGCACCAUAUCUAGUAAAGUACGAUUACGACGUUCGGACACACCAUUUCUUUGUGGUGUUCCAGGUGACGUGAGUUGCGAAACUAUUCCGCAUUGUUUCAAAUGUAAACCAAACUCGUAACUCAAAUAUUCUCCUCCACGAUCAGAUCGUAGAAACUUUAUUUUCUUGUUACGAUGAUUUUCCACUUCACUCUGAAAUUCUUUGAACUUUUCAAAUGUUUCAGACUUAUACUUCAUUAAGUAGAUAUACCCAUAUAUGCUUAAAUCAUCUGUGAAGGUGAGAAAAUAACGAUAUCCGCCACGAGCUUCAACAUUCAUCGGACCACAUACAUCUGUAUGUAUGAUUUCCAACAAAUCUGUUGCUCUCUCCAUAGUACCGGAGAACGGUGUUUUAGUCAUCUUGUCCAUGAGGCACGGUUCGCAAGUACCAAGUGAUUCGUAAUCAAGUGAUUCCAAAAGUCCAUCAGUAUGGAGUUUCUUCAUGCGCUUUACACCGAUAUGACCUAAAUGGCAGUGCCACAAAUAAGUUGCACUAUCAUUAUUAACUCUGCAUCUUUUGGCUUCAACAUUAUGAAUAUGUGUAUCACCACUAUCGAGAUUCAAUAAAAAUAGACCACUCUUCAAGGGUGCAUGACCAUAAAAGAUAUUACUCAUAUAAAUAGAACAACCAUUAUUCUCUGAUUUAAAUGAAUAACCGUCUCGCAUCAAACAAGAUCCAGAUAUAAUGUUCAUGCUCAACGCUGGCACCAAAUAACAAUUAUUCAGGUCUAAAACUAAUCCCGAAGGUAGAUGUAAAGGUAGCGUGCCGACUGCGAUCACAACGACUUUGGAACCGUUUCCCACGCGCAUUGUCACCUCGUCGUUGGCCAGUGCUCGCUUAUUCCGUAGUCCCUGUUUCGAGUUGCAAAUAUUAGCAACAGAACCAGUAUCAAAUACCCAGGUGCUACUACGAGCUCUAGUUAGGUACACAUCAAUAACAUGUAUAUCACAUAUACCUUUGUUCACUUUGCCAUCCUUCUUAUCCGCCAAAUACUUGGGGCAGUUCCGCUUCCAGUGACCAGUCUGCUUGCAGUAGAAGCACUCAGUUUCAGGCUUAGGUCCAGACUUGGGUUUCUUCUCUUGAGCAUCAACUUGUUUGCUGUUCUUCUUGAAGUUCCCCUUCUUCUUCCCUUUGCCCUUUUUCUUGAAACUAGUGGUCUUGUUAACCAUCAACACUUGAUGCUCCGUCUUGAUUUCUACCUCCGCAGCCUUUAGCAUUGCGAAGAGCUCGGGAAUAGGCUUGUUCAUCCCUUGCAUAUUAUAGUUCAUCACAAAGCUCUUGUAGCUUGGUGGCAGUGAUUGGAGAAUUCUGUCAAUGACGCUAUCAUCCGGAAGAUUAACUCCCAGUUGAAUCAAGUGAUUAUUAUACCCAGACAUUUUGAGUAUAUGCUCAUUGACAGAACUAUUCUCCUCCAUCUUGCAGCUUUAGAACUUAUUGGAGACUUCAUAUCUCUCAAUCCGGGCAUUUGCUUGAAAUAUUAACUUCAACUCCUGGAACAUCUCAUAUGCUCCAUGACGUUCAAAACGUCGUUGAAGACCCGGUUCUAAGCCGUAAAGCAUGGCACACUAAACAAUAGAGUAGUCAUCAGCUUUGCUCUGCCAGACGUUCAUAACAUCUGGUGUUGCUCCUGCAGCAGGCCUGGCACGCAGCGGUGCUUCCAGGACGUAAUUCUUCUGUGCAGCAAUGAGGAUAAUCCUCAAGUUACGGACCCAGUCCGUGUAAUUGCUACCAUCAUCUUUCAACUUUGCUUUCUCAAGGAACGCAUUAAAAUUCAAUGGAACAACAGCACGAGCCAUCUAUCUACAACAAACAUAGACAAGCAAAAUACUAUCAGGUACUAAGUUCAUGAUAAAUUUAAGUUCAACUAAUCAUAUUACUCAAGAACUCCCACUUAGACAGACAUCUCUCUAGUCAUCUAAGUGAUCACGUGAUCCAAAUCAACUAAACCAUAACCGAUCAUCACGUGAGAUGGAGUAGUUUUCAAUGGUGAACAUCUUUAUGUUGAUCAUAUCUACUAUAUGAUUCACGCUUGACCUUUCGGUCUCUGUGUUCCGAGGCCAUAUCUGCAUAUGCUAGGCUCGUCAAGUUUAACCUGAGUAUUCUGCGUGUGCAAAAACGGGAUUGCACCCGUUGUAAAUGGACGUAGAGCUUAUCACACCCGAUCAUCACGUGGUGUCUGGGCACGACGAACUUUGGCAACGGUGCAUACUCAGGGAGAACACUUCUUGAUAAUUUUUUAGUGAGAGAUCAUCUUAAAAUGCUACCGUCAAUCAAAGCAAGAUAAGAUGCAUAAAGGAUAAACAUCACAUGCAAUCAAUAUAAGUGAUAUGAUAUGGCCAUCAUCAUUUUGUGCUUGUGAUCUCCAUCUUCGAAACACCGUCAUGAUCACCAUCGUCACCGGCGCGACACCUUGAUCUCCAUCGUAGCAUCGUUGUCGUUACGCCAUCUAUUGCUUCUACGACUAUCGCUACCGCUUAGUGAUAAAGUAAAGCAAUUACAGGGUGUUUGCAUUUCAUACAAUAAAGCGACAACCAUAUGGCUCCUGCCAGUUGCCGAUAACUUCGGUUACAAAACAUGAUCAUCUCAUACAAUAAAAUAUAGCAUCACAUCUUGACCAUAUCACAUCACAACAUGCCCUGCAAAAACAAGUUAGACGUCCUCUACUUUGUUGUUGCAAAUUUUACGUGGCUGCUACGGGCUGAGCAAGAACCGUUCUUACCUACGCAUCAAAAACCACAAUGAUAAUUCAUCAAGUUGGUGUUGUUUUAACCUUCGCAAGGACCGGGCGUAGUCACACUCGAUUCAGCUAAAGUGAGAGAGACAGACACCCGCCAGCCACCUUUAAGCACGAGUGCUCGUAACGGUGAAACCAGUCUCGCGUAAGCGUACGCGUAAUGUCGGUCCGGGCCGCUUCAUCUCACAAUACCGCCGAACCAAAGUAUGACAUGCUGGUAAGCAGUAUGACUUGUAUCGCACACAACUCACUUGUGUUCUACUCGUGCAUAUAACAUCAACGCAUAAAACCUAGGCUCGGAUGCCACUGUUGGGGAACGUAGUAAUUUCAAAAAAAAAUCCUACGCACACGCAAGAUCAUGGUGAUGGUAUAGCAACGAGAGGGGAGAGUGUUCGUCCACGUACCCUCGUAGACCGUAAGCGGAAGCAUUAUGACAACGCGGUUGAUGUAGUCGUACGUCUUCACGAAUCGACCGAUCCAAGUACCGAACGUACGACACCUUCGUGUUCAGCACACGUCCAGCUCGAUGACGUCCCCCGGACUCCAAUCCAGCGAAGUGUCGGGGAUGAGUUCCGUCAGCACGACGGCGUGGUGACGAUGAUGAUGUUCUACCGGCGCAGGGCUUCGCCUAAACUCCGCGACGAUAUGAACGAGGUGGAAUAUGGUGGAGGGGGGCACCGCACACGGCUAAGGAACGAUCCGUAGAUCAACUUGUGUGUCUAUGGGGUGCCCCCCUCCCUCGUAUAUAAAGGGGGAGAGAAGGAGGGGGCCGGCCUAAGGGGAGGCGCGCCCUAGGAGGGGGAAACCUACUCCAAGUAGGUUUGCCCCCUUCCUUUCCUAUUCCAAGGAGGGGGAAGGAAGGAGUGGGAGAGGGGCAAGGCAAGGGGGGCGCCGCCCCCCCCCCCUUCCUUGUCCUAUUCGGACUCAAGGGGAGGGGGCGCGCCUCUUGCCCUGGCCAGCCCCUCUCUCUCUCCACUAGGGCCCAUCAAGGCCCAUUACUUCCCGGGGGGGGGGGUUCCGGUAACCCUCUGGUACUCCGGUUUUUCUUCGAAAACACCCGGAACACUUCAGGUGUCCGAAUAUAGUCAUCCAAUAUAUCAAUCUUUAUGUAUCGACCAUUUCGAGACUCCUCGUCAUGUCCGUGAUCACAUCCGGGACUCCGAACAACCUUCGGUACAUCAAAACUUAUAAACUCAUAAUAAAACUAUCAUCGUAACGUUAAGCGUGCGGACCCUACGGGUUCGAGAACUAUGUAGACAUGACCUAGAACUAUUCUUGGUCAAUAACCAAUAGCGGAACCUGGAUGUUCAUAUUGGUUCCCACAUAUUCUACGAAGAUCUUUAUCGGUCAAACCGCAUAACAACAUACGUUGUUCCCUUUGUCAUCGGUAUGUUACUUGCCCGAGAUUCGAUCGUCGGUAUCCAAUACCUAGUUCAAUCUCGUUACCGGCAAGUCUCUUUACUCGUUCCGUAAUACAUCAUUUCAUAACUAACUCAUUAGUUACAAUGCUUGCAAGGCUUAGGUGAUGAGUAUUACCGAGAGGGCCCAGAGAUACUUCUCCGACAAUCGGAGUGACAAAACCUAAUCUCGAAUUAUGCCAACUCAACAUGUACCUUUGGAGACACCUGUAGAGCACCUUUAUAAUCACCCAGUUACGUUGUGACGUUUGGUAGCACAGAAAGUGUUCCUCCGGUAAACAGGAGUUGCAUAAUCUCAUAGUUAAAGGAACUUUGUAUAAGUCAUGAAGAAAGCAAUAGCAACAUACUAAACGAUUAAGUGCUAAGCUAACGGAUUGGGUCAAGUCAAUCACAUCAUUCUCCUAAUGAUGUGAUUCCAUUAAUCAAAUGACAACACAUGCCUAUGGUUAGGAAACAUAACCAUCUUUGAUCAAUGAGCUAGUUCAAGUAGAGGCAUACUGGUGACACUAUGUUUGUCUAUGUAUUCACACAUGUAUCAUGUUUCCGGUUAAUACAAUUCUAGCAUGAAUAAUAAACAUUUAUCAUGAUAUGAGGAAAUAAAUAAUAACUUUAUUAUUGCCUCUAGGGCAUAUUUCCUUCAGUUGGAUCAUGUGAGAGAUUAAUGGAACAUCCCAUUUUGGGGGAGUGAUGUGCUUUGUGCACCUCACAAUCCUAUAAAUGUGUGUACAUGAGGAAUACCAUCUAGUAUUGAUAUUACAAGAUUAUCUAGUCGCUUGGUGGUAUAUCUCUCAUGAGAUAUUCGAAUUCUAAAAAUUCCAUUGAUUAUCUCUUGUUGGUUCCUCUUAUUGCCUCUUGUUAAAGUUCUUUUUGGUAUCACAUUAUGGGGGAGUAAUAUGUUAUGUGCAUAUUACAAGCCUAUAAAAUGUGUACAUUUGAGAUAUUGUCACCUAGAAUUGAUAUUGUAAAUUAUCUUGUUCCUAGGUGGCAUGUUAGCUCUACAAGUGGCAAUUUCCUUGUGUGUGUUGUGAAGAUGAUGUUGGAUAUCCUUGUUAUCUACCACCGGGAACUAUUUCCAAAUACUUCUUGUCUUUGGACAAUUGGUAGUCACUUAUGUGUGGUAGAAUUUAUUGAUCAUCUUUACAUUGGCUUUUGUUUUUAUUUGCCUUUUCUCUUGCCAAGGUUUGUGUCAACUCCCGUUGUCUUCCAUACCACUUGUGGAUCUUGUUAAUUUCUUGUUCUUGUCUAGUGUUUUCUAGAUAUAGUGAAAGUGGUGAUCCACCUUGUGCAUUUUGUAUUCAAAAGCAAAUUCUCUAUAGUGCACAACUCGUGGGGGAGCUAUCCUAUUUUCUUUAGAACACUCUUCUUGUGAUCCUUAUCAAGUGUGUGUGUUGGUGGAAGGCAAGCCGUUUUCCUUUGGUACCUUGUGCCAUCAUGAAACUUUGUUGAGAGCUUGGUUUGUUUGGAACCAUCCUCUCUUUGGGAGUUUGACAUCUUUAAUUUAGUGUGUAUCAAUGGAUAUCUCAUUCCUUGAUGUAUCUUUAAUGAUAUAUUCCAAGUGAUGAUUUCUCCAUUUGGUAUCCUUUUCACUUGGCAUUUCUUUGUCUUCUGGUUUCGGGUUUUGAAAGUCUUGAGCAUGCAUGUUUACUUCAUGUAUUUUAUUUGGCUUGCUUUCUUUCUUUAACUCAAUAUAUAGGGGAAACUCCACCUAGUCUCAAUUUUGAUGAGAUGUGCAUGAAAUUCAUUUUCAUAUCUAUAUGCACAUAUAUAUGUGGAGUUUGUCCUAUGUAUUGGUGUUUCUAACUAUUUGGUCCCGAUAAGUUUGGGUACCAUUUAGUUUGUGUUGUUCUUCUAGGAACAUAUGGAGAUGCAUUGGAUGCUCGGCUCACUCACAAGGAAGGUGUUGUCACCAUGUGCAUAUUGGAGUCAAGCUAGGAUGAUCAAUGAACUACUUUUUACCUUCAAUUGGUAUCUACUACAUCCUUCCAAUGCUAUCUCGGUAACAAGUAUCAUCAUCUACUACAUGCACACAUUAUUGCAUCAAUCGUGUGUAGAUUGUAUCAUGGCAUGUUAUUCUUUCUUUCUUGUGGUACUUGUUUCCUUUCUCAAAGCAUCCCAACAAUGAUCUCUUGUUGCUAGUUGUGAUGUCUUUGAUGGUUGUGUGGUAGGAAUUCAUUUAUAUACAAUAAGACCAUAUCUAGCCUUGGGCUAUGCUUCCAAGCACAUAUCUUAUUGGUAUAUGUAUGACUUCCUUUUGGAUAUCUUGUUCCUUCGUGUGUAACUAUUUCGGGUGUACAUCCUUCUUUGUAGAUAUAUAUCCUCAUGAUUUCGUCUACCUAGACCCUUAUACACUUGAGAGAAAUUACAUCUUUAGAUGAUUUCCUUUCUUUCACGUCCACCUUGUCUUUCUUAUGUUAUUUCUUUGGUGGCUCUGUGAAAGCUUUUGCAUUGAGUGUGUGUCUUAUCUCGUUGCAUCUUGAUGCACUCUUGUGUGGUGAAGAUUAUUUUCCUCAUGCUUGUCUUGACGAGGCUUUUGCCAUCUUAAUUGGUAUCCCCUGUCUUGAUGAUGCUUAUGUUUUCUAUCUUCACCUUGGGUUGUCACAAGUGUUGGUUAUUCAUUUUGCAUAUUUAGUGUUCUUGUGAACCCAUUUGCUUAGUUGUGUGUGAGAAUGAAAGGCUUUGCAUCGUGUGCCUCAUUCUUUCAAGACUAUGUUGAUGCUUAAUGAUCAUCCUAAUUUUAGUCUUCUCAAGUGCUUCGGCAUGACUCACACACAUCAUUUUUGUUGAGCCUAUUCUUAAGUUGCCUCUUUUACAUGUUGCUCAACCAUGUGUUUGUUGCAAGUGCUAGGCUUAGUUUCCUUUAUGCUCACUUGCACUUGUUGUAUGUUUCUAUUGAUUUUGGGGGAGCUAUGAUCCUAUUUUGUGCACUUUGUAUUCAAAUACAAAAAUUCUUAUGUGUGCACAAAUCAUGGGGAGCUUCUCUAGUUUCUUUAGAACACUCCUUCGCUCAUACCAUAUUAUCCUUCAUUCAUGUGGCUCAUAGGAUCUUUGGUCUAGUUGUUUCAGUUGAUAUCCUUUGAUUGCUUGCUUCAAUAGGUAUCUUUUGAUUGCUCGAUUUCUUGUUUCUCUCUUUGUUAUGUCUUUGUGGCAUAUCAUUCUUUUGCGAUCUUUGGGCCUCAAUAUAGUUUGUCUUCCUCCAAGUAUUUGCCAUUGGAUAUGUGUAUUGCAUUCCACUCUUUUUUUGAGAGAUACACAAUUUAUAGAGGAACACUCUUUAUAUUGGCCUUCUAAGCUUUUCACCCAUUUUGGCAAUCGAUGCCAAUGGGGGAGGAGUGUCAGAGAGUUUUGUGGAGAAGUCUUCAGAGUUUUCUCCUUGCUUUGGUUUUGGUCCUAAGCAUUUGCAUCUCAUUCUUCUGCAUCAUUGGUUGUUGCAUUGCAUUGUGAUGCAUAACUCCUUGUAUAAACUCUCUUGAAAGUGAUUGUCAUCAAUUACCAAAAUGGGGGAGAUUGAAAGAACAUGCGGUGCCCCCAUGUUUGGUUUUGGUAAUUGAUGACAAUCUCUAUGGACUAAUGGUUGCCUUGAGUUAUAUUUGAAGGUUUUGUCCAUAGGCUUUCCUUGAAGUCCAUGUGUUGGUUUCAAGGAGUUUAUGAGUUAACCAAGGUGCUAUUAAGGAAUUAUCCAAAGAUUCGUCAUGUGAGUGUUGAGCGUAUUGCAAGCAUGUCUUGAAGAAGAAGAUUGUGUGAUCAUUCAUGUUUACCUUCAAGACAUCAUCCAAAUUAAGAGAGUUGGAAAGAUUCAAGGUUGAUCAAGACUAAGUCAAGAGUGAAUCAAGUUGAUCAACUCACAAAGCGUAGAAGAUGUACCAAGAGGGAUCAAGUGAUCCCAUGCUAUGGUAAGCAUUGUCCAUUGCACUUUGUGUACUAACCCAUGGUCUAUGUGAGAGUUCCAUGUGGGGUUAGGUACGUGUCCAUGGGCUUGCGUCAAGAGGAAGAUAUCAUACAACCCAUGGAAAGGAUGACAUCAAGUGGUGAUCGUCAUCAAGAUUGCCGUGUGCAAGUUCAAGUGGAGCAUCACGAAGAGAUCAAGUGCUUGAAUCUUGCCAUCCAUUGUGGUGUCAAUGGACUUGUGAAGAUGUGUCGAAGAGUGGCUCACCCAUAGUGGACUAUGGGGGAGCAAUCAUCUAGUCUUCAUCGAGCCAACGCAAUCAAGAAAGGUGGUCCAACUUGAGGGAGUCAAGAUCGUCAUCAUCUAGCUCAAGUGGACCAUGUGGAAGGCAAAGGUUUGUCCCUUGAUAGUUUUUCUAUUUUACCGGUCUCGUGGUGGUAGUUGGGAGACCGGGCUAUAGGAUCGUUUGUCGUACUAUCAAGGGGGGCUCUCAAGUUGGUGGCUUGAUCGUAUCGUUAGUAGAGAGCUCAAACCAUUGCAUCCUUGCAUCAUGUUACUUGGUUCUUGUUUAGUUCUCUUUGUGAGUCUUAGAGCUUAUGGUCAUCUUGAUGACAAGCUUGAGUUCAUCGAAAACGGAGUUCGCAUGCGUCUUCUAUGAUGUUUUCGGUGUUGGAGGUUUUAUCGGUCUUAUCCAAGGAAGGGUUCUCACCUUUUUCUUAUGGGCCUUUUCUAUUCUGCUUCUUAUUGAUAUUUAUUUCAAGAUUGUGUUAGCCCUUGUCGCUAGCUUUCCGACAAACUUGGUUUCAUCGAAUUCGGAGUCUGUUUGCAAAAGUUGUGGCAGUUUUGGUGUUCUAAAAAGGUUGCAGCGGUAGUACCGCGAAUUGGAGCGGAUGUAAUUUUUUACUACCGCUCCAGAGCGGUACUACCGUGGCUCCUACAGCGGUAGUACCGCUCCGGACCAAAAAACUCGUCCCAAGUCCUGCGGAGGUAGGUACGGAAGUAUUUUUUUUUGUACCGCAAGCAGUAGUACCGUGAUCCCUAGUGGUAGUACCGUGAGGACGAGCGGUAGUACCGCUCUGUGCGGGUUGUGAGCAUAACGGUUGGAUUUUCCCCCACCUAUAAAAGGGGGUCUUCUUCCCCAUUGAACCUUAUCCUUUGAGCUCGUGUUCUUCCCCCAUUGUUGACCUUCUUCGAGCUUGCUAACUCUCAAUCCCUCCAUGGAUUCUUGCUAGUUUUUGAGGGAAAAGAGAGAGGAGAUCUAGAUCCACAUUUCCACCAAUCACUUUCUCCUUUUUGUGAGGGGAACCCUUUGGAUCUAGAUCUUGGAGUUCUUCGUGUUCUUCUUUCGUUCUUCCUCUCAUUUUCCUCCCUAGCAUUAGUUGCUUUGGUGGGAUUUGGAAGAGAAGGACUUGGGCACUCCGUGUGCCCUUGCAUUGCAUUUGGUGCAUCGGUUUGAGUUCUCCAUGGUGAUACGUGGAAGUGAAGUUUGAGAAGCUUAUUACCCUUGGGUGCUUGGUGCCCUUGAGCUUGUUCCUCUUGGGUGCUUGGGCGCCCUAGAUGGUUGGUGGUGUUCGGAGCUCAAUCAUUGUGGUGUAAAGCUCUGGGCAAGCGUCGGGGUCUCCAAUUAGGUUGUGGAGAUCGCCCUGAGCAUUUUAACGGGUUCCGGUGACCGCCCCCAAGGGUUGCCAAAGUGUACGGGUUCGGUGACCACCCCCAAGGGUUGCCAUUUGUACGGGUUCGGUGACCGCCCUCAAGGGUCCCUUAGUGGAAUCACGGCAUCUUGCAUUGUGCGAGGGCGUGAGAAGAUUACGGUGGCCCUAGUGUCUUCUUGGGGAGCAUUGUGCCUCCACACCGCUCCAAACGGAGAUUAGCAUCCGCAAGGGUGUGAACUUCGGGAUACAUCGUCGUCUCCGCGUGCCUCGGUUAUCUCUUACCCGAGCCCUUUACUUAUGCACUUUACUUUGUGAUAGCCAUAUUGUUCUUUGUCAUAUAUCUUGCUAUCACAUAGUUGCUUAUCUUGCUUAGCAUAAGUUGUUGGUGCACAUAGGUGAGCCUAGUUGUUUUAGGUUUUGUGCUUGACAAAUUAACCGUUAGGUUUAUUCCGCAUUUGUUCAAGCCUAAACCGUAAUUAUUUUAAAGCGCCUAUUCACCCCCCUCUAGGCGACAUCCUCGAUCUUUCAGAAAGGUUAUUAGUCAACGGGUCUGAAUCUUUCAGAUCCGUAUGUGCUUUACAAAUCUCUAUGUCAUAUUCUAGAUGCAGCUACCACGCGCUACUUGGAGCUAUUCCAAAUAACUGCUCUACUAUACGAAUCCGGUUCACUACUCAGAGUCAUCCGGAUUAGUGUCAAAGUUUGCAUCGGCGUAACCCUUUACGACGAACUCUUUUACCACCUCCAUAAUCGAGAAAAUUCCUUAGUCCACCAGUUACUAAGGAUAACUAUGACAGCUAUCAUGUGAUUCAUUCCUAGAUCACUCUUGUACCCCUUGACUGACUCAUGGCAAGGCACACUUUAGCUGCGGUACACAACAUAGCAUAAUGUAGAGCCUACGUCUAAAGCAUAGGGGACGACCUUCGUCCUUUCUCUCUCUUCUAUCGUGGUCAGGUCUUGAGUCUUACUCAAUACUCACACCUUAUAACAUAGACAAGAACUCAUUCUUUGUCGAUCUAUUUUGAACUCCUUCAAAAUCUUGUCACGGUAUGUAUUCAUUUGAAAGUACUAUUAAGCGUUUUUGAUCUAUCCUUAUAGAUCUUGAUGCUCAAUGUUCAAGUAGCUUAAUCCAUGUUUUCCAUUGAAAAACACUUUUCAAAUAACCCUAUAUGCUUUCCAGAAAUUCUACAUCAUUUCUCAUCAACAAUAUGUUAACAACAUAUACUCAUCAGAAAUUCUAUAGUGCUCCCACUCACUUCUUUGGAAAUACAAGUUUCUCAUAAACUUUGUAUAAACCCAAAAUAUUUGAUCAUCUCAUAAAAGCGUACAUUCCAACUCCGAGAUGCUUACUCCAGUCCUUAGAAGGAUUGCUGGAGCUUUGCAUACUUGUUAGCAUCUUUUAGGAUUGACAAAACCUUCUGGUUGUAUCACAUACAACCUUUCCUCAAAAAAAGUCAAGGAAACAAUGUUUUGACAUCCUAUCUGCAAGAUUUCAUAAAUAAUGCAAUAACUGCUAAUAUAAUUCCAACAGACUCUUAGCAUCGCUACGAGUGAGAAAGUCUCAUCGUAGUUAACUCCUUGAACUUGUCAGAAAACAUCUUAACGACAAGUCGAGCUUUCUUAAUGGUGAUACUUACCAUCAUUGUCCGUCUUACGACCAUCAAGUAGUUCUUCCAAAGUAUAUACUUUGUUUUCAUACAUGGAUCCUCUCGGAUUUUAUGGCCUCGAGCCAUUCGUUGGAAUCCGGGCCCACCAUCGCUUCUCCAUAGCUCGUAUGUUCAUUGUUGUCUAGCAACAUGACUUCCAAGAUAGGAUUACCGUACCAUUCUAAAGUAGUACGCAUCCUUGUCGACCUGCGAGGUUUGGUAGUGACUUGAUCCGAAGUUUCAUGAUCACUAUCAUUAGCUUCCACUUCAAUUGGUGUAGGCGCCAUAGGAACAACUUUCUGUGCCCUGCUACACACUAGUUGAAGUGACGGUUCAAUAACCUCAUCAAGUCUCCACCAUCCUCCCACUCAAUUCUUUCGAGAGAAACUUUUCCUCGAGAAAGGACCCGUUUCUAGAAACAAUCACUUUUGCUUCCGGAUCUGAAAUAGGAGGUAUACCCAACUGUUUUGGAUGUCCUAUGCAGAUGCAUUUAUCCGCUUUGGGUUCGAGCUUAUCAGGCUAAAACUUUUCACAUAAGCGUCGCAGCCCCAAACUUUUGAGAAACGACAACUUAGGUUUCUCUAAACCAUAGUUCAUACAGUGUCAUCUCAACGGAAUUACGUGGUGCCCUAUUUAAAGUGAAUGUGGUUGUCUCUAAUGCCUAACCCAUAAACGAUAGUGGUAAUUCGAUAAGAGACAUCAUGGUAUGCACCAUAUCCAAUAGUGUGCAGUUAUGAUGUUCGGACACACCAUCACACUAUGGUGUUCCAGGCGGUAUUAGUUGUGAAACAAUUUCCACAAUGUCUUAAUUGUGUACCAAACUCGCAACUCAGAUAUUCAUCUCUAUGAUCAUAUCAUAGACAUUUUAUCCUCUUGUCACGAAGAUCUUCAACUUCACUCUAAAAUUAUUUGAACCUUUCAAUAAUUCAGACUUGUAUUUCAUCAAGUAAAUAUACUCAGCAUCUACUCAAAUUAUUUGUGAAGUAAGAGCAUAACGAUAUUCACUGUGUGCCUCAGCACUCAUUGGAUUGCACACAUCAAAUGUAUUACUUCCAACAAGUUGCUCUCUUGUUCCAUCUCACUGAAAACAAGGCCUUUCAGUCAUCUUGCCCAUGUGGUAUGAUUUGCAUGUCUCAAGUGAUUCAAAAUCAAGUGAGUCCAAACGAUCCAUCUGCAUGGAGUUUCUUCAUGCGUAUAUACCAAUAGACAUGGUUCGCAUGUCUCAAACUUUUCAAAAACGAGUGAGUCCAAAGAUCCAUCAACAUGGAGCUUCUUCAUGCGUUUUAUACUAAUAUGACUCAAAUGGCAGUGCCACAAGUAGGUGGUACUAUCAUUACUAUAUUAUAUCUUUUGGCAUGAACAUGUGUAUCACUACGAUCGAGAUUCAGUAAACCAUUCAUUUUAGGUGCAUGACCAUUGAAGGUAUUAUUCAAAUAAACAGAGUAACCAUUAUUCUCCUUAAAUGAAUAACUUUAUUGCGAUAAACAUAAUUCAAUCAUGUCUAUGCUCAACGCAAACACCAAAUAACAAUUAUUUAGGUUUAACACCAAUCCCGAUGGUAGAGGGAGCGUGUGAUGUUUGAUAACAUCAACCUUGGAAAUACUUCCAACACAUAUCGUCACCUCACCUUUAGCUAGUCUCCGUUUAUUUCAUAGCUUUUUAUUUUUACUUACUAACACUUAGCAACCGAACCGGUAUCUAAUACCCUGGUGCUACUAGGAGUACUAGUAAAGUACACAUUAAUAUAAUGUAUAUCAAUAUACUUCUCUCGACCUUGCCAGUCUUCUCAUCUACCAAGUAUCUAGGGUAGUUCUGCUUCAGUGACCGUUCCCCUCAUUACAGAAGCACUUAGUCUCGGAUUUGGGUUCAACCUUGGGUUUCUUCACUAGAGCAACAACUGAUUUGUCGUUUCAUGAAGUAUCCCUUCUAGCCCUUGCCCUUCUUGAAACUAGUGGUUUUACUAACCAUCAACAAUUGAUGCUCCUACUUGAUUUCUACUUUCGCGGUGUCAAACAUCGUGAAUAGCUCAAGGAUCAUCAUAUCUAUCCCUGAUAUGUUAUAGUUCAUCACGAAGCUCUAGUAGCUUGGUGGCAGUGACUUUGGAGAACCAUCACUAUCUCAUAUGGAAGAUUAACUCCUACUUGAUUCAAGUGAUUGUAGUACUUAGACAAUCUGAGCACAUGAUCAACGAUUGAGCUUUUCUCCCUUAGUUUUCAGGCUAAGAAACUUGUCAGAGCUCUCACACCUCUUGACGUGGGCACGAGUCUGAAAUCCCAAUUUCAGCUCUUGGAACAUCUCAUAUGUUCCGUGACGUUUCCAAAAAUGUCUUCGGUGCCUCAAUUCUAAGCCGUUUAACAUUACGCACAGAGCUAUCACGUAGUCAUCAAAAACGUGUAUGUCAGAUGUUCGCAACAUCCACAAACGACGCUUGAGGUUCAGCACACUGAGUGGUGCAUUAAGGACAUGAUCCUUUUGCGCAGCAAUGAGGACAAUCCUCAGUUUACGGACCCAAUCCGCAUAAUUGCUACUGUCAACUCUCAACUAAAUUUUCUCUAGGAACAUAUCUAAAAUAGUAGAACUAAAGCGUAAGCUACGACAUAAUUUGCAAAGACCUUUUGACUAAGUUCAUGAUAAUUAAGUUCAUCUGAUUAUUUAAUGAACUCCCACUUAGAUAGACAUCCCUCUAGUCAUCUAAGUGAUACAUGAUCCGAGUCAACUAGGCCGUGUCUGAUCAUCACGUGAGACGGACUAGUCAUCAUCGGUGAACAUCUUCAUGUUGAUCGUAUCUACUAUACGACUCAUGUUCGACCUUUCGGUCUCUUGUGUUCCGAGGCCAUGUCUGUACAUGCUAGGCUCGUCAAGUCAACCUAAGUGUUCCCGUGUGUAAAUCUGGCUUACAACCGUUGUAUGCGAAUGUUAGAAUCUAUCACACCCGAUCAUCACGUGGUGCUUCGAAACAAUGAACUUUCGCAAGGGUGCACAGUUAGAGGGAACACUUUCUUGAAAUUUUAGUGAGGGAUCAUCUUAUUUAUGCUACCGUCGUUCUAAGCAAAUAAGAUGUAAACAUGACAAACACAUGCAAAUCAUAAAGUGACAUGAUAUGGCCAAUAUCAUUUUGCGUCUUUGAUCUUCAUAUUUGAGGCGCGGCAUGAUCACCUUCGUCAUCGGCAUGACACCAUGAUCUCCAUCAUCAUGAUCCCCAUCAUCGUGUCUUCAUGAAGUUGUCUCGCCAACUAUUACUUCUACUACUAUGGCUAACAGUUAGCAAUAAAGUAAAGUAAUUACAUGGCGUUUUCAAUGACACGUAGGUCAUACAAUAAAUUAAGACAACUCCUAUGGCUCAUGCCGGUUGUCAUACUCAUCGACAUGCAAGUCGUGAUUCCUAUUACAAGAACAUGAUCAAUCCCAUACAUCACAUAUAUCAUUCAUCACAUUCUUUUGGCCAUAUCACAUCACAUAGCAUACCCUGCAAAAACAAGUUAGACGUCCUCUAAUUGUUGUUGCAUGUUUUACGUGGCUGCUAUGGGUUUCUAGCAAGAACGUUUCUUACCUACGCAAAAGCCACAACAGUGAUAUGCCAAUUGCUAUUUAUCCUUCAUAAGGACCCUUUUCAUCGAAUCCGAUCCGACUAAAGUGGGAGACACUGUCACCCGCUAGCCACCUUAUGCAACAAGUGCAUGUCAGUCGGUGGAACCUAUCUCACGUAAGCGUACGUGUAAGGUCAGUCCGGGCCGCUUCAUCCCACAAUGCCGCCGAACCAAGAUAGGACUAGUAAUGGUAAGCAAAUUGAACAAACCAUCGCCCACAACUACUUGUGUUCUACUCGUGCAUAGAAUCUAUGCAUAGACCUAGCUCAUGAUGCCACUGUUGGGGAACAUAGCAAUAAUUCAAAAUUUUCUACGCAUCACCAAGAUCAAUCUAUGGAGAUUAUAGCAACAAGAGAGGGAGAGGAUGAGUGUAUCUUCAUACCCUUGAAGAUCGUGAUGCGAAAGCGUUACAAGAACGCGGUUGGUGGCGUGGUCGAUUCCGAUCUAAGCGCCGAACGGACGGCGCCUUCGCGUUCAACACACCUACAGACCGGGGAUGUCUCCUCCUUAUUGAUCCAGCAAGGGGAGAGGAGAAGUUGAGGGAAAACUCCAGCAGCACGACGGCGUGGUGGCGAUGGAGCUCGUGGUUCUCCGGCAGAGCUUCGCUAAGCACUACGGAGGAGGAGGAGGUGUUGGAGGAGGAGAGGGCUGCGCCAGGGAAGGGGGUGCGGCUGCCCUCUCUCUCCCUCACUAUAUAUAGGGGGAAGGGGGAGGAGGAGGUGCCCUAGGGUUUCCCUAGGGAAGGGGCGGCGGCCACACGGGAAACCCUAGAUGGGUUUGGGCGCCCCCACCCCUAGGAAACUUGCCCCCCAAGCCGGGAGGGAUGGCUGCCCUAGGGGAGGUGCCCCCACCUCUCCAAGAUACGUGAGAUGGGGUGGGAGGGGAGCACAAUCCCUUAGUGGGCUUAUGUGCCCCAUCCCCUUGGCCCAUAAGGCCCCUCAACGCUUGUCGGGGCCUCCGAAUCCCCUUUCGGACACGCUGGUCGUCACCCGGUACCCCCGGAACAAUUCCGGACUCCAAUACCCUUCUUCGAAUAUAUCAAUCUUCACCUCCGGACCACUCCGGAGUUCAUCGUCACGUUCGGGAUCUCAUUCGGAACUCCGAACAACCUUCGGUAACCACAUACUAUUUCCCAUAACAACUCUAGCGUCACCGAACCUUAAGUGUGUAGACCCUACGGGUUCAGGAACCAUGCAUACAUGACUGAGACGUUCUCCGACCAAUAACCAACAGCGGGAUCUGGAUACCCAUGUUGGCUCCCACAUGUUCCACGAUGAUUUCAUUGGAUGAACCACGAUGUCGGGGAUUCAAUCAAUCCCGUAUACAAUUCCCUUUGUCAAUCGGUAUGUUACUUGCCCGAGAUUCGAUCGUCGGUAUCCCAAUACCUCAUUCAAUCUCGUUACCGGCAAGUCACUUUACUCGUUCUGUAAUGCAUGAUCUCGUGACUAACUACUUAGUCACAUUGAGCUCAUUAUGAUGAUGCAUUACCGAGUGGGCCCAGAGAUACCUCUCCGUCAUACGGAGUGACAAAUCCCAGUCUCGAUUCGUGCCAACCCAACAGACACUUUCGGAGAUACCUGUAGUGCACCUUUAUAGCCACCAGUUACGUUGUGAUGUUUGGUACACCCAAAGCAUUCCUACGGUAUCCGGGAGUUGCACAAUCUCAUGGUCUAAGGAAAUGAUACUUGACAUUUAGAAAAGCUCUUAGCAAACGAACUACACGAUCUUGUGAUAUGCUUAGGAUUGGAUCUUGUCCAUCACAUCAUUCUCCUAAUGAUGUGAUCCCGUUAUCAAUGACAUCCAAUGUCCAUGGUCAGGAAACCAUAACCAUCUAUUGAUCAACGAGCUAGUCAACUAGAGGCUCACUAGGGACAUGUUGUGGUCUAUGUAUUCACACAUGUAUUACGGUUUCUAGUUAAUACAAUUAUAGCAUGAACAAUAGACAAUUAUCAUGAACAAGGAAAUAUAAUAAUAACCAUUUUAUUAUUGCCUCUAGGGCAUAUUUCCAACAAAAUUGUGGCUUGAGAUAGCCUUUUUACUGGCACGUUCCAUCAAGGGGGAGAUCAUGCCCGUUUUCUCAGGGAUAUCAUCAGGAUUUUGUUUCUCCCCAUAUGCUCAAUGACAUCUUUUGUGGGAGUGGCAUUUUUUAUCGGCACAGCAAAGGGACUCUUGGCCUUUCAUUAACUUAUAAAAGCAAAAGAGAGGACAACGCACUAGGCCACACCCUCACCCCCCUCCCCGCUUGCAGCUUCGUCUAGCUCCAGCGCCCAGAUCCAAUCUAGCACUCCUUUUUAGCGAGUCCAACCUUCCCCACCAGCCAUGGCCGAUAACCUCAAGGGGCGUUGGGGUGGUUCCACCGUGCUACACUAGGCGUGAGGGACUGGUCCUCACGGAACCCUUGGUCGUGAGUAUCCGUCCACUCCGCCAUGAAGUCGGCGAGAGCCGCCCCCUUGAUGACCCUAGUCGUAUUGAACUCCAACUGGAAAGCCCGCAGUUCGAUGUUCCACUCGGCGACUCUGCCAGUAGCAUUUGGGCUGCGCAACACCUUCUCUGGGGGUAUGCAGAGACAACCUUGAUGGGGUGGCCUUGGAAAUAAUGGCGCAGCUUCCUUGAAGCGACGAGGAGCGCGAGAAGGAGCUUCUGCUGCAUAGGGUAGGUCACGCAUCCCGUAGUGCUGUGUCGACAAAGUACACCAGAUGCUCAACAAGGCGCCGGGUAUCGACUGCAACCUGCCUUGCGCACGGCUUGGGCGCCUCAUCGGGCGCCUCAGGGGCGGCGGCCUCAGGGGCACAGUCCUGCGGCGACAAGGGCUCCACGGCCCCGCGCGAGCCGUCUGACCCCGCGCCGGCACUGGUGCGCUCUUACCAGACUGCCCCGAGCGCCGCACUGACCGAAUGCGCGGUGACAGCUAAGUAGAGCACCAGGGGCUUGCGAGGGCAGGGCGCCACCAUAACAGGCGGGCUCGUGAGGUACCUCUUGAGGUCCUCGAAGGCUGCCUCCGCUUCCAGGGUCCAUUCGAAGUGGCCCUUCCUCUUAAUAGAGUUUAAAAAACGGCAGGGCGCGCUAUCCAAGCUUAGAGAUGAAGCGCCUCAGGGAAGUCACGCACCCUGCCAGCCUUUGCAUUUCCUUGAGGGUCUAAGACGGGCGCAUCCCUUCAAUUGCCUUGACCCUUUCGGGGUUGGCCUCAAUUUCUCAAUGCGAGACGAGAAAACAGAGCAGCUUCCAAAUCGAAAUAUUAAGGCAAGUAGAAGGAAGAGGAACCAUGAGUGGUGAUGUUGUGCUUAUCUAUACCAUCGCUUGUGAGCUAUGCAGUGGCAGCUGCCCUACAGAGAGGAAAGUUGUGGCCCGGGAACAUGGCGCCUCAAAGGCAAUGUUAUAUGCUGUUGAGGAAGGGUGCCUCUGAUGGUCGCGCUGCGUGUCAUUGCCAGUGCUGACAAUGGGCCAACGCUGGGAGGGAGGUGUCGCACCGCCGCAGGAGAACGGAGCAGAGCACAUGAUAACACGAGAGGGGGGGGGCAACUUACCAAACCAACCGCCAUGGUCACCCUGGAUUGGAUCCACCUUCCUGCACAUGUCGUCGUUACCGUCCUACGCCGCCACUACGCCAGCGCCUCCUUCAGGCACUGCACAGCGGCUGCUCCACCUCGCCAUUGCCUUCACACGGAGCAACCGAUCAGGGUGGAACAAUAGGGUGUUGGAGCACCUCCUCGUGUCAGCUUCAGCGCUUGCUUAGCCAAGGCGGCAACUCCCUACGACGUCGUGGGCGGACGGCUCUGGUGGCAUGCGAUGGCGGGCGUCGGUGAUCUGGGCGGGCAGAAGGUCGAGGCGCGGGGUGGCUUGCAGCGUCGAGCUGUGGCGCGCUUGAACAACGGGGACGGCGGGACUCCGGCACCUGAACGGGCGUGAGGCCGCAAGCUCAUGGUCGAGAGCAAUGACAUUGGCCCAAGAUGACGGCGACGUCGAUGAUGUGCAGCCGCGGCCUGAGUUUAGCCUCCCGCGCGGAUGUACGUUGCCUUCCCUUCCUCUCCUCCGUCAUGGCCUCUGAUCAUGGGGCGAUGGGAGAGAAUUUUGGAGCUUGGUGGUGGGACGUGGAGGAGGCGGCUGUAUUGUCUCGGGAUGAAGGAGAGACAAUUUAUAGAUCUACAACAGCGGUGGAGGGGACAUGAGAUUGGACUGAAGUCACGUGUCCCGACUGGAUCCAUCUUCCGUAGAAAAAAACUGAAACCAAUGUAAAAAUUAUAACGUGGCAAACGAAGAAACCAGAGUCAAAGCAGCGAUGGGCACGUACGAUCAGAACAUGAAAGGAAACUGACGUGACCCUUCAUGUGCAUUCAAUAGAAAGAAAGACAUGGUAAAAAAAGUGCAAGACGCUAGGUAGCUAAGAGAUAGGAACGACAAGGAAAGCCUCCGUCACACGCGUCAUUUUCUCAGGGGCGGUAAAAAAUUCCGGAAAAACCAGAAAAAUCAAACCCUUACUGGCUUAGUAUUCUUAGUAUAUAGUGUUGAUAUUGCCAUAUCUUUUUCUUUAAUAUAUAGUACGCACACGUGUGCAUAUUCGAGAAAAAAAAGUGUUGAUAUUGCCAUGUCCAUUCCUUGUGACCAUUCUGCACGUACAGAAUUACAGUGUUGAUAUACAGAAUUACAAUGUUGAUAUACAGAAUUGUCACAUUGUAAUUCUGUAUAUCAACAUUGGUCUGAUAUAGUGCAUGUACUGGUCUGCGCCAAUGUCCAUUCCAUGUGGAUCAACUGGUCUAUAGGGUAAUUAUUUUUACGAAUUUUGACACUGGUCUGCACCAAACUCUGGUAGAUGCUCUGGAGUCGCCGAACAUUUUUGUUACUGAGUUUUGACAUUGGUCUGGUAGAUACUGUAAUGUGUUAAUCUAUUAAUCUGAAUUUUGUUACUGAUGAUGACAGAAAAUUUGUGCACUGUAAUUUGUUCUGGACAGCUCCGUAGUUAUUGGAUUCAGUUAACCAAAGUUUAGUUCUUGUUGGUGCAAGUGCAAAAGUUACUGACAAGAUGCAAUCAUUUUUCUUAUUGGUGCAAAAAUUACUGUCAAGAUGCAUAUCCUGUUGCUCCUCGGAAUGAGCUGCUAUGUUCUCAACUCAACUCAUUUUGACAAGCAUGCAGAGAAGAUAUAAAUAAACAGGAAAACACUAGCUUGUACUUUGGCUUUCUAGUUUGUAUAAAAAGAAGUCCUGAGUCCAACUUCUACUGAUCAUGAUCCAACUUGUACUGAAUUUUCCUCACAAUUAUUCAAAACUCACAAUAAGCUACUGUAUUCCAUAUAACUCAGUAUCUUCUUUGCCAAAUAAUCACAUGCAGAGAAGAUAGUACUCUACUUUGCCAGGAAAUCACGAUCACAACUUCUACUCUACCCCAGAAUAAUUAUGUAUCUUCUUACACUAGCAGUAGCGGAUUUACAAGCAUGGAUGGAUCAAGUGUUGAGUAUGAAGGCUGUGAACUUGAUCAGCCAUUGAUCAAGUGUUCAGUAUGGACUACAAAUGCUUUCGAUUUUAAACACACUAUUGUUGAUCCACCGCUCAAUUUCGCAGGAGUAAAGAACUGAAUGAUUUUACCGAUCCACACUAUUGCUUUCUUCUGUUUUGCCCGAUCCACACUAUUGUUUCUGCCUUUCUCUGCUUCUUGCUCAAUUGGAAGUAAUUUCACAUCAGUUUCACAGGAGGAGUGCCAACAGAGGCAAUGGUCCUGCGAGCUGCGCCCGGAAGCGCGCGGGAAGGUUGAAAUAAAUUGAGUAGCCAAAGGCCUCGUGCACAGUAUGGAAGGAAGAGGAAAAAUGGCCCGACGGCGGCUGCGCUUGGGAAAGCUGCCGAUGGUGACAACGGCAAGGAGGAAGGUGGAGACGGAGUGAUUAGCACGAUAAUUAAUUCUACGAGGGGGCUUUUGAAAAAACAAUUAGGCCCGACAUUAAUUUCGGGACGAUUGGUUUCAGUCAGACGGUUGGUUUUGCCUUCGUGACGUAGGAAAGUAUACGUAUGCGUGUGGGGGUUGGGUCCGUAAUAGAUUCGGCCAGACGAUGGAAAGAAACCCAAAACCAAUCGAAAAGGCCUCCAGAUCCGAUUCGGGAGGCCCCUUGCUUAUAGCACCAUCUAUAAGUAGGAAUCAAAUUGAUCCCAAGCAGACCCUCUCACCCGCCGCCGGCGUUUUUUGUCGAAUCGAUCGACUGAUCGACGGGAGGAGAAGCCCAGCCCCUUGGCAUCACGGAGUAAGAUGAAGACCUCGGCGCCGAUGAGUCCGGAUGAAAUCGACAAGGCGAUGGCUUCCGAGGCGAGGAAAUUCGCGUCGCACGCUCGCGUUUGGGAAUCCGCGUGGGGCGAAACAUGCGGCUUCUUCACAGACACCAGUGAGUAAUAACCAACCCAAUAUCAGUUUUAUUUACUAAUUAUUAAUCGGUUCAGCUAUCGGGCGCUUGAAAUUCUCUUUAGCGCCGCUUGCUUGAAUCCAAAUCAGUCAGAGCACCAACGUAGUCAGAGCACCAACGAGGAAAAUCGAGGGUCGGGUUCGAUGGCUGGCUGGGAUGCGACCGUGAACCCCGCACAGUGAACCGGGUGGGGAGAGCGGCAGUACAUGAAUACAAAUCGUUGCUGCAGUUCUUCGUCUCAUCACCGUAUCCGUCAGAUGAGCUCCAUCUCUUUCCACGUUGCCUCAUUGGUCACCAUGUCUGCUGGAAGAGGCGGUGAUGUGUUAGGGGAUUGAUGAUGCGUAUGAGCAAAGCGACUUGCCAUGGAAAGGCGGCGGCGGUGUUGUCCGGUGUGCAACAGGGGAGCAGCCGUGUGAACUGCACGAUCAGUUAGGUCACGCAGUGACUAAUGGGCCUAAUGGGCUUCCUUUUAUUUAUUCAUUUAGAGAUAUGCCUAUUUUCGUAUUUAAAAUAAAUCAGGUAUCGCCACUGGUAGAGUAGUUGGUGCCAUCAAUCCAGUCGACCCGGGAUCACGUCCCACGACCCAAAAUGUUGACCCGGAAAUCUGGCAACUAUAAUACGGCCGUGCGAGAAAAAAUCUGGUGCUCGGAGAGGCUUAGCAGCCGGGACCAUGUGGUUAAGCUGACUGCCCGCGGGUUUGGGGUUGAAGAUGAACAAUAGUAGACAGAUGGAGAUUGNNNNNNNNNNNNNNNNNNNNNNNNNNNNNNNNNNNNNNNNNNNNNNNNNNNNNNNNNNNNNNNNNNNNNNNNNNNNNNNNNNNNNNNNNNNNNNNNNNNNNNNNNNNNNNNNNNNNNNNNNNNNNNNNNNNNNNNNNNNNNNNNNNNNNNNNNNNNNNNNNNNNNNNNNNNNNNNNNNNNNNNNNNNNNNNNNNNNNNNNNNNNNNNNNNNNNNNNNNNNNNNNNNNNNNNNNNNNNNNNNNNNNNNNNNNNNNNNNNNNNNNNNNNNNNNNNNNNNNNNNNNNNNNNNNNNNNNNNNNNNNNNNNNNNNNNNNNNNNNNNNNNNNNNNNNUUACUCAUAGUUUUUUUUCUGCGACAACUAGUACAAAACCGGGGAGUACUAAUUAAUUAGUACAGUUCAUAUACAUCAGACCUUCGUUGUAUUCAAAAGUCUAGGAUUUACACUUUGUCCAAACUUCGGGCGGCUGUGAAUGGAUUCUUGUUUAUUUUGCUGGUCAUCGAGUGGUAGCUCAUGCUUGUUUAUUAGAACAUUCUAACGCUUGCUUAACCUUUUUACAGCGGCGCUGAGUUCCAUGCAGUUUACACACUAUAUAUCUGGACACAUCUCAAACAAUUGUGCUGGGUCCAGUCCGGAAACCUUGCAGGUCUUCUCCAUCAAACUCACGGAAAUAGCUGCUGGUCUCGCCUGGCCAUUGGCUGUGUACGGUGUGGUUGCUGUUCGAGACAUCGCAGAUCAUAACCGUAACCUUCUCUUCUGUUGUGAUAGGAGCCAUGCCCAAGAACUCAAUCAAGAUGUACCUACUUUCUUAAUUUUCUCUUCAUUUUAUUUUGAAAAUCUUGGUUGCAUGCACCCUCUGUUGUUGGUUAGGUUAAUGGGGUGUCGAUGAUGUUUGCAGGAUUCGUUUUUGCGCUUAAUUGGGCCAUCACGUGCAAUUGUGUUAACAGACAUAGUUGACAUUGAAAUCCAACUGAAAGUGAAAGGUCCAACAAAGUCUCAAGAUAAAGCGUUGAUCAGCCAUGUCUGUAAUUAUGGUGGAGAAGGUCUUGGUGUAUCUACCAACCCUUUGCAUUGAUAAUUGCUUAUGUACAUUGGAGUUAUGCUUGCAGCGAGUCAAACGAACGGUCCAGGCUACCAUCUUGAGUGCCCAAGUUGUCAAGUGUGGUUCAUGGCCUUUUGAAUAUGGUGGCCGAGUUGCUUGCUCCUCACCAUCAGGGGAAAUGGUGGUUACUGAGAGUGGAGUCACUCAUGCUAUCAAUCCCUCAUCUAGCCAAAUUGUACUGCUUGAAUCAAAAGGUGAAGCAAUGCUGAAAGGUCGUCGUGGUAGUAACAUAUAUCUGUCGAGGCAAGUUAUUUCUAUAGAAACUGAAGGACAGCUGGACGUUGCCAUAGAAGCCUACUCAAAAUCUGGUGAUGUCACUGCACGAGGUCAUGUCUGUUUCGUGCCCCAAUUUUGCAACAUAAGCCAGGAAAAAUGUGCCAUUGCUGACGUUGAGGUGGUGAUUACUGUUGCUUGGUCCCUUGUCGCUACAAGCAAAAGGGAAGUGGCGUGGAACACUGAAAAGACAAGGCAACAGCCAACACCAACCAAACCUUUGCGCAUGUUAGAGUAUACUGUGUAUAUAACCUACAGCAAAUGUAUAUGGUCAACCGCUGGAAGUGUGAGUGCGUGUGAUCGUGGCACACGAUCUGUGUGUAGUGGCGCAUGAUCCCCUCGGCUGAGGCCAUCUGUAACCUGUAUAUUAACCCCAGCCGAUGAGCUAAUGGAUAUGCGUUGAUUCCCAUACUUCAUUCCUCCUCAAACAUUGUAUUAGAUACCCCUGACCAGAUCAAUCCCUUUGCUCCGGUCGCCGAUCCUGCUGCCGCUGCUAUGGGCAACGGCUCUGCCCCCUUGCUGCCGCUCCGCCACCGCCGCCUGCACUUCUAUGCACUGGCCCGGCCGCUGUCACACCACCAACUUUCGGCAUUUUAACGGCCCUUGCUACAUUUGAGCCCAUUUCUAGUCCGAAGUGACUUUUGACCUCUUAACGGGCCAUGGUCUUCGUGGAAAAAUUUCAGCCCAGCCUGACAAUCGGCAUGUUAAAGGCCCGUGGAAUAAUUGGACCCAUUUAUGGCCUGAAUUUGCAUCCGGCUUGUACGGGGAGUCUGCAUGCACCAAGUGGAUCGAGGCUCACAAGCGAUGCCUUCGUGCUGAGGGGAUCAAGGUCUGAUUCUUCUCCAGUCCCCUGAGGAUGCUGCAUUUGAUUUCUUGAAUGUUGCAGAACAUGUUAUUUGAGAUUCAGACUUGUUGUCUUGUUUUUCAAUGCUGUUCCUGUAUGGUUUAAUGGUUAGCGAGCUUGAUACCUGUUUCCAUGGGAAAUAAAUUACUGAUGACUGUGACUUUAUGGGUUAUAUGAGAAGUUUUCUUGGUGUUCAUAUUGUUGCCCAUCUCUGCUUUGUUUGGCAUGGAAGAAACUACAAUAUUCUCGAUAUGGAAAUUUCAUAGUGAAAACUGAUAGUAAGACAACAUCAAGAAUAGAGCCUUCAAAUUUAUUUGCUCGUUGCUGCCAAUGCCCAUGGUUUCCAUGGCAUAAUCACCCUUAUUCUCCUCUCAUCCUUUUCCCCAGACCAAAUCAAUCACUCGUCACCAAUGAACUAGUACUAGUUAUUUUCUACUACUUGCAGGCACUCUACAUCACUCUCUCCAUCCAUCUUACACAGUUUUCAGACCUUUAGCUAGGCAUCACGCUGCACAUCAUCAGUUCACCUUCAG